AGCGAACGCUGGCGGCAGGCCUAACACAUGCAAGUCGAACGAACCUUUCGGGGUUAGUGGCGGACGGGUGAGUAACACGUGGGAACGUGCCUUUAAGUUCGGAAUAACUCAGGGAAACUUGUGCUAAUACCGAAUGUGCCCUUCGGGGGAAAGAUUUAUCGCCUUUAGAGCGGCCCGCGUCUGAUUAGCUAGUUGGUUGAGGUAAUGGCUCACCAAGGCGACGAUCAGUAGCUGGUCUGAGAGGAUGAUCAGCCACAUUGGGACUGAGACACGGCCCAAACUACUACGGGAGGCAGCAGUGGGGAAUCUUGGGCAAUGGGCGAAAGACUGACGCAGCCAUGCCGCGUGAAUGAUGAAGGUCUUAGGAUUGUAAAAUUCUUUCACCGGGGACGAUAAUGACGGUACCCGGAGAAGAAGCCCAGGCUAACGUCGUG
RNAcentral lists this ribosomal RNA (434 nucleotides) under uncultured bacterium. RNAcentral's name for it is "partial 16S ribosomal RNA". It matches the Rfam family "Bacterial small subunit ribosomal RNA", at positions 29 to 507 of the family's 1533-position model. The record is from RNAcentral.